RNAcentral lists this ribosomal RNA (497 nucleotides) under uncultured bacterium. RNAcentral's name for it is "partial 16S ribosomal RNA". It matches the Rfam family "Bacterial small subunit ribosomal RNA", at positions 28 to 507 of the family's 1533-position model. The record is from RNAcentral.
GAUGAACGCUGGCGGCGUGCCUAAUACAUGCAAGUCGAGCGAACAGACGAGGAGCUUGCUCCUCUGACGUUAGCGGCGGACGGGUGAGUAACACGUGGAUAACCUACCUAUAAGACUGGGAUAACUUCGGGAAACCGGAGCUAAUACCGGAUAAUAUAUUGAACCGCAUGGUUCAAUAGUGAAAGACGGUUUUGCUGUCACUUAUAGAUGGAUCCGCGCCGCAUUAGCUAGUUGGUAAGGUAACGGCUUACCAAGGCGACGAUGCGUAGCCGACCUGAGAGGGUGAUCGGCCACACUGGAACUGAGACACGGUCCAGACUCCUACGGGAGGCAGCAGUAGGGAAUCUUCCGCAAUGGGCGAAAGCCUGACGGAGCAACGCCGUGUGAGUGAUGAAGGUCUUCGGAUCGUAAAACUCUGUUAUUAGGGAAGAACAAAUGUGUAAGUAACUAUGCACGUCUUGACGGUACCUAAUCAGAAAGCCACGGCUAACUACGUG